GACGAACGCUGGCGGCGUGCUUAACACAUGCAAGUCGAACGGUAAGGCCCCAGCUUGCUGGGGUACACGAGUGGCGAACGGGUGAGUAACACGUGGGUGACCUGCCCCGCACUUCGGGAUAAGCCUGGGAAACUGGGUCUAAUACCGGAUAGGACCGCACCGUGAGGGUGUGGUGGAAAGUUUUUCGGUGGGGGAUGGGCCCGCGGCCUAUCAGCUUGUUGGUGGGGUAAUGGCCUACCAAGGCGGCGACGGGUAGCCGGCCUGAGAGGGUGGACGGCCACAUUGGGACUGAGACACGGCCCAGACUCCUACGGGAGGCAGCAGUGGGGAAUAUUGCACAAUGGGCGGAAGCCUGAUGCAGCGACGCCGCGUGGGGGAUGACGGCCUUCGGGUUGUAAACUCCUUUCACCAUCGACGAAGGUUUUCUGACGGUAGAUGGAGAAGAAGCACCGGCUAACUACGUG
RNAcentral lists this ribosomal RNA (464 nucleotides) under uncultured bacterium. Its description in RNAcentral is "partial 16S ribosomal RNA". It matches the Rfam family "Bacterial small subunit ribosomal RNA", at positions 28 to 507 of the family's 1533-position model. The record is from RNAcentral.